AAAUAAGAAGCAUAUAUAAUGUAAUUAGUUUCGACCUAAGAGAAGAUAAUAAAUAUCCUUAUUUA
This 65-nucleotide transfer RNA is filed under the name Lopaphus sphalerus. Its description in RNAcentral is "tRNA-Arg". The record is from RNAcentral. Lineage: Eukaryota; Metazoa; Arthropoda; Insecta; Phasmatodea; Lonchodidae.